Long non-coding RNA from Triticum aestivum (bread wheat), 697 nucleotides. RefSeq lists it as uncharacterized. The transcript has 2 exons. The record is from RefSeq and is a predicted model, not a curated record. NCBI's taxonomy places the organism in Eukaryota, Viridiplantae, Streptophyta, Magnoliopsida, Poales, Poaceae.
GGCAGAGGCGCCAUGGCGCACACACGCCGUCCACGCCCGGAUUGCCUCGUGUCGUUCAUCUGAGCGCUCCUAGAGCUGUAUAAAUGUUCCCCUUAUUUCGUUGACGAACCCUAGCCCCCGAAAUUCCCCUAUCCCACUCGUGUUUCUCCACUGAACCUCAUGCCGGAGAUGUUGUCACUGCGCCUUCGUCGAUCCUGCGGCCACUGACUCCCCAUCGCUGCAUCGCCAUGUCCAUGAGGUUCUCCGUCGUCUGCUUCAUCGUCUCCAACACCGGAUCGAGCCCGGGGAACCACACGGACAACGCCCAUGUCUUCUUCUUCACCAAAGACCGUCCCGGCCAUCGCCGUCGAUCUCCACCACUGGUGCCUCCCGGCCUCGCCGAGCUCGUCCACAGCCUCCCCAGGAUGACGGAGCCCCUGAGAGCGCUGCCAUCGCCGACGACUACUACUACUAGCCCGAGGGUGCCUUCUACCACGUGGCGGACACCGACGACCAGGAGUAGUUAGGAGGCUCCCAGACAGGUGGCCUUGCCUUUUCGAUCGUUGUUAAUUUUGUGCUAGCCUUCUUAAGACAGACUUGUUUAACUCAUGUCUGUACUUAGAUAUUGUUGCUUCCGCUAACUCAUUUGUAUUCGAGCUUAUGUAUUUGAGCUCUCGAGACCCUGGCUUGUAAUAUAAAGCUUGUAUUAUUAUUUUAA